RNAcentral lists this ribosomal RNA (381 nucleotides) under uncultured Glomeromycotina. RNAcentral describes it as "SSU rRNA". It matches the Rfam family "Eukaryotic small subunit ribosomal RNA", at positions 571 to 955 of the family's 1831-position model. The record is from RNAcentral. Lineage: Eukaryota; Fungi; Glomeromycota.
CAGCCGCGGUAAUNCCAGCUCCAAUAGCGUAUAUUAAAGUUGUCGCAGUUAAAAAGCUCGUAGUUGAAUUUCGGGGUCAGUAGGUUGGUCGUGCCACUGGUAUGCACUGGCCUUACUGAUUCCUCCUUCUUGAAGAACUGCGAUGUCAUUAACUNUGGUGUUGCAGGGAAACAGGACUGUUNCUUUGAAAAAAUUAGAGUGUUUAAAGCAGGCUAACGCUUGAAUNCNUUANCAUGGAAUAAUGAAAUAGGACGUUUGAUCCUAUUUUGUUGGUUUCUAGGAUUGACGUAAUGAUUAAUAGGGAUAGUUGGGGGCAUUAGUAUUCAAUUGUCAGAGGUGAAAUUCUUGGAUUUAUUGAAGACUAACUNCUGCGAAAGCAUU